RNAcentral lists this ribosomal RNA (253 nucleotides) under uncultured bacterium. RNAcentral describes it as "partial 16S ribosomal RNA". It matches the Rfam family "Bacterial small subunit ribosomal RNA", at positions 524 to 776 of the family's 1533-position model. The record is from RNAcentral.
UACGUAGGGUGCGAGCGUUAAUCGGAAUUACUGGGCGUAAAGCGUGCGCAGGCGGUUUUGUAAGCCCGAUGUGAAAUCCCCGGGCUUAACCUGGGAAUGGCAUUUGGGACUGCAAGGCUGGAGUUUGGCAGAGGAGACUGGAAUUCCCGGUGUAGCAGUGAAAUGCGCAGAUAUCAGGAGGAACGCCGGUGGCGAAGGCGGGGCUCUGGGCCGUAACUGACGCUGAGGAGCGAAAGCGUGGGGAGCGAACAGG